Triticum aestivum (bread wheat) is the source of this 1564-nucleotide long non-coding RNA. RefSeq lists it as uncharacterized. The transcript has 2 exons. NCBI's taxonomy places the organism in Eukaryota, Viridiplantae, Streptophyta, Magnoliopsida, Poales, Poaceae. The record is from RefSeq and is a predicted model, not a curated record.
AAGAGCAUACGUGGACAACACUCUCCCCUCUCGUUGCUAUGCAUCACCAUGAUCUUGCGUGUGUGUAGGAUUUCUUUGAAAUUACUACGUUCCCCAACACUUUUUGUAUAUAUGGAGUGAAAACUGAUUUAGGUUUUUUUGUCAUACAGAUUGGGCAUCAAAGUAGACGACAAAGGAUGACAAACGAUUAAGUUCUGCACCUUAGUCCACUUACAACUUAUAAUUUGAUUGAUACUUUUCAUUUUAUAUUGAUGUGCUUCCAACGAGAACAAUUUUUUCACGGGAUGUGUUUCAUUACAUAUGCCAUUUUAUUUGUGUGAAGUCUUUGAGACUUUCCUUUGAUUCUUUAUUUUAACGGCGUGAAAAAGGAUUAUAAGUAAUGUUGGGUUCCCAGCAGGACAAAGGUAGGAAGAGAAGCAAAUCAUAACCUUUAGGUUCAUGGUCUAGGAGCAGGAAAGUACAUGUCCAUCUUUGUGGUAUUCUCAUUUGAAUAAGCAUAAUACUACGUACAAAAUCUCUCAAUUGUGUAGACAGGUCAUCAAGUAAUGGUUAGUAAUUCAUAAUAUUGCUUCACCUUUAUGUUAAUGAUCCACUUUUAAGUGUUUGUUGCCAAAGUGAGCAUCAAAUUGCAGGAAUCUCAAUCUUUUUUCUAUAUUUCUCGCAAGGCUCUUCUACGGUAGAUAUUUUUGCUUGGUCAUAAAUGAAUUAGUCCCAUGCUCUGACAGUAAGAUAAUGGAGCUAGGUGGACGAACAUCGGCAUUGAUGCCAAGAUUAUCUGACAUCUUGCUGUAGUAGUGUCUUAAUUGGAUAUGUUUACAGUUCUAAAAUCAAUGUUCAUCAGCAUCCAGCCUUCUAACUAAAAAGUAUUUUCGCAACGGCUUCUCUGCACCGUUACGCUCUCUUGCUGGUACGCAAUUUGAGGCAUGGGAGCGAGGGGCACGUUGCGAGGUCGUCUUCGAUCAUGGCUACAACUUAUGACGAGAAGGGGAUUUAUGCUUAGUAGGCUGCCCUGUGGUUAGCAAGUCAUUGUCGCAGUCUCCGCCUCCCAGGUUGCCUCGGCUUGCUAUUGGUGUGUGUUGCUGCAACAACCCCUUCCGACCACCUCUGAAGUUGGGCAAUGUGGCCACUGAUGUCAAGGGCGUCGCCAUCUUACUUGCAAGGCACAAAUUGCACCACACGCAACAUCUUGCUAUGCAUGGCCACUGAUGUCAAAGAGAACCAAGUGCCUUGACGUACUAUAUAAAGAGAUCAUGUGAAAACAAAGCUGAAGUUCUUGAUCAAGAUGAGAAGGAAAGUGGUCUUCGAGCAACACUAAUCCUGGGUUAUACAUUUGGUCAUGUACAUAAUAUCUUCGACCAUUGUUGUUUUUAUGUUGAGUUUAUCUAUCUUGCAUUACGAUGGUCCAUGUAAACAUAUUUGGAUGAAUUGGCAGCCCAGUAAAAAGUUUGCUUUAUUUUUGUUGCUACUGCCUACUUUAUUGAAGCAUUUGAUGGAGAUGACUCAUGUACUCACUUUUGUUGCUUGCUAAAAUAGAAAAGAAUACAACAAAGAAUAGUAUUUAUUU